CAAGUCGAGCGGUAGCACAGAGAGCUUGCUCUCGGGUGACGAGCGGCGGACGGGUGAGUAAUGUCUGGGAAACUGCCUGAUGGAGGGGGAUAACUACUGGAAACGGUAGCUAAUACCGCAUAAUGUCGCAAGACCAAAGUGGGGGACCUUCGGGCCUCAUGCCAUCAGAUGUGCCCAGAUGGGAUUAGCUAGUAGGUGGGGUAACGGCUCACCUAGGCGACGAUCCCUAGCUGGUCUGAGAGGAUGACCAGCCACACUGGAACUGAGACACGGUCCAGACUCCUACGGGAGGCAGCAGUGGGGAAUAUUGCACAAUGGGCGCAAGCCUGAUGCAGCCAUGCCGCGUGUGUGAAGAAGGCCUUCGGGUUGUAAAGCACUUUCAGCGGGGAGGAAGGCGAUAAGGUUAAUAACCUUGUCGAUUGACGUUACCCGCAGAAGAAGCACCGGCUAACUCCGUGCCAGCAGCCGCGGUAAUACGGAGGGUGCAAGCGUUAAUCGGAAUUACUGGGCGUAAAGCGCACGCAGGCGGUCUGUCAAGUCGGAUGUGAAAUCCCCGGGCUCAACCUGGGAACUGCAUUCGAAACUGGCAGGCUAGA
RNAcentral lists this ribosomal RNA (596 nucleotides) under uncultured Enterobacteriaceae bacterium. RNAcentral's name for it is "SSU rRNA". It matches the Rfam family "Bacterial small subunit ribosomal RNA", at positions 58 to 645 of the family's 1533-position model. Lineage: Bacteria; Pseudomonadati; Pseudomonadota; Gammaproteobacteria; Enterobacterales; Enterobacteriaceae. The record is from RNAcentral.